AUUGAACGCUGGCGGCAGGCCUAACACAUGCAAGUCGAGCGAGCGGCGGACGGGUGAGUAAUGUAUGGGGACUGCCCGAUAGAGGGGGAUAACUACUGGAAACGGUGUCUAAUACCGCAUACUAUCGGAUAACCCAUAUGGGAUUAGCGAGUAGGUGGGGUAAAGUCUCACCUAGGCGACGAUCUCUAGCUGGUCUGGGAGGAUGAUCCGCCAAACUGGGAUUAGGACACGGCCCAGAUUCCUACGGAGGCAGCAGUGGGGAAUAUUGCACAAUGGGCGCGAGCCUGAUGCAGGCAGGCCGAGUGUAUGAAGAAGGCCUUAGGGGUGUAAAGUAAGUUCAGCGGGGAGGCGUUACCCGCGGAAGAAGCACCGGCUAACGCCGUGCCAGCAGCCGCGGGAAUAC
This 403-nucleotide ribosomal RNA is filed under the name uncultured bacterium. Its description in RNAcentral is "partial 16S ribosomal RNA". It matches the Rfam family "Bacterial small subunit ribosomal RNA", at positions 29 to 526 of the family's 1533-position model. The record is from RNAcentral.